Molecule: ribosomal RNA, 301 nt
Filed under: uncultured bacterium
Lineage: Bacteria
Description: partial 16S ribosomal RNA
Rfam family: Bacterial small subunit ribosomal RNA
Source: RNAcentral
CAGCAGCCACGGGAAUACGUAGGUGGCAAGCGUUGUCCGGAAUUAUUGGGCGUAAAGGGCUCGCAGGCGGUUUCUUAAGUCUGAUGUGAAAGCCCCCGGCUCAACCGGGGAGGGUCAUUGGAAACUGGGAAACUUGAGUGCAGAAGAGGAGAGUGGAAUUCCACGUGUAGCGGUGAAAUGCGUAGAGAUGUGGAGGAACACCAGUGGCGAAGGCGACUCUCUGGUCUGUAACUGACGCUGAGGAGCGAAAGCGUGGGGAGCGAACAGGAUUAGAUACCCCUGUAGUCCCUGUCUCUUAUAA